CGGAGGGGUCACACCUGUUCCCAUACCGAACACAGAAGUAAAGUCCUCCAGCGCUGAUGGUACUUGGUGGGUAACUGCCUGGGAGAGUAGGUCGUCGCUGGAU
RNAcentral lists this ribosomal RNA (103 nucleotides) under Bacillota bacterium. The record is from RNAcentral. Lineage: Bacteria; Bacillati; Bacillota.